GUAGCUGGUCUGAGAGGAUGAYCAGCCACACUGGRACUGAGACACGGYCCAGACUCCUACGGGAGGCAGCAGUGGGGAAUAUUGGACAAUGGGGGCAACCCUGAUCCAGCAAUGCCGCGUGUGUGAAGAAGGCCUGAGGGUUGUAAAGCACUUUCAGYGGGGAGGAGGAUUARUAGGUUAAGAGCURAUUAAUUGGACGUUACCCACAKAAGAAGCACCGGCUAACUCCGUGCCAGCAGCCGCGGUAAUACGGAGGGUGCGAGCGUUAAUCGGAAUUACUGGGCGUAAAGGGUGCGUAGGUGGUUGAUUAAGUUAUCUGUGAAAUCCCUGGGCUUAACCUGGGAGGGUCAGAUAAKACUGUUURACUCGAGUAUGG
This 376-nucleotide ribosomal RNA is filed under the name uncultured Legionella sp. Its description in RNAcentral is "partial 16S ribosomal RNA". It matches the Rfam family "Bacterial small subunit ribosomal RNA", at positions 283 to 651 of the family's 1533-position model. Lineage: Bacteria; Pseudomonadati; Pseudomonadota; Gammaproteobacteria; Legionellales; Legionellaceae. The record is from RNAcentral.